Molecule: ribosomal RNA, 416 nt
Filed under: uncultured bacterium
Lineage: Bacteria
Description: partial 16S ribosomal RNA
Rfam family: Bacterial small subunit ribosomal RNA
Source: RNAcentral
AAUAUUGCGCAAUGGCCGCAAGGCUGACGCAGCGACGCCGCGUGGAGGAUGACGCCCCUCGGGGUGUAAACUCCUGUUGCUCGGGACGAUCCAUGGGUUUAGACCCAUCUGACGGUACCGAGUGAGGAAGCACCGGCUAACUCCGUGCCAGCAGCCGCGGUAAUACGGAGGGUGCGAGCGUUGUCCGGAAUCACUGGGCGUAAAGGGCGCGUAGGCGGUCUGGUAAGCGUGUGGUGAAAGCCCGGGGCUCAACCCCGGGUCUGCCGUGCGAACUGCCGGACUUGAGCACUGUAGAGGCAGGUGGAAUUCCGAGUGUAGCGGUGGAAUGCGUAGAUAUUCGGAGGAACACCGGUGGCGAAGGCGGCCUGCUGGGCAGUGUCUGACGCUGAGGCGCGACAGCGUGGGGAGCAAACAGG